RNAcentral lists this ribosomal RNA (1490 nucleotides) under Bifidobacterium pseudocatenulatum. Its description in RNAcentral is "bacterial SSU rRNA". It matches the Rfam family "Bacterial small subunit ribosomal RNA". Lineage: Bacteria; Bacillati; Actinomycetota; Actinomycetes; Bifidobacteriales; Bifidobacteriaceae. The record is from RNAcentral.
AGAGUUUGAUCCUGGCUCAGGAUGAACGCUGGCGGCGUGCUUAACACAUGCAAGUCGAACGGGAUCCAUCAGGCUUUGCUUGGUGGUGAGAGUGGCGAACGGGUGAGUAAUGCGUGACCGACCUGCCCCAUACACCGGAAUAGCUCCUGGAAACGGGUGGUAAUGCCGGAUGCUCCGACUCCUCGCAUGGGGUGUCGGGAAAGAUUUCAUCGGUAUGGGAUGGGGUCGCGUCCUAUCAGGUAGUCGGCGGGGUAACGGCCCACCGAGCCUACGACGGGUAGCCGGCCUGAGAGGGCGACCGGCCACAUUGGGACUGAGAUACGGCCCAGACUCCUACGGGAGGCAGCAGUGGGGAAUAUUGCACAAUGGGCGCAAGCCUGAUGCAGCGACGCCGCGUGCGGGAUGACGGCCUUCGGGUUGUAAACCGCUUUUGAUCGGGAGCAAGCCUUCGGGUGAGUGUACCUUUCGAAUAAGCACCGGCUAACUACGUGCCAGCAGCCGCGGUAAUACGUAGGGUGCAAGCGUUAUCCGGAAUUAUUGGGCGUAAAGGGCUCGUAGGCGGUUCGUCGCGUCCGGUGUGAAAGUCCAUCGCUUAACGGUGGAUCUGCGCCGGGUACGGGCGGGCUGGAGUGCGGUAGGGGAGACUGGAAUUCCCGGUGUAACGGUGGAAUGUGUAGAUAUCGGGAAGAACACCAAUGGCGAAGGCAGGUCUCUGGGCCGUUACUGACGCUGAGGAGCGAAAGCGUGGGGAGCGAACAGGAUUAGAUACCCUGGUAGUCCACGCCGUAAACGGUGGAUGCUGGAUGUGGGGCCCGUUCCACGGGUUCCGUGUCGGAGCUAACGCGUUAAGCAUCCCGCCUGGGGAGUACGGCCGCAAGGCUAAAACUCAAAGAAAUUGACGGGGGCCCGCACAAGCGGCGGAGCAUGCGGAUUAAUUCGAUGCAACGCGAAGAACCUUACCUGGGCUUGACAUGUUCCCGACAGCCGUAGAGAUAUGGCCUCCCUUCGGGGCGGGUUCACAGGUGGUGCAUGGUCGUCGUCAGCUCGUGUCGUGAGAUGUUKGGUUAAGUCCCGCAACGAGCGCAACCCUCGCCCUGUGUUGCCAGCACGUCAUGGUGGGAACUCACGGGGGACCGCCGGGGUCAACUCGGAGGAAGGUGGGGAUGACGUCAGAUCAUCAUGCCCCUUACGUCCAGGGCUUCACGCAUGCUACAAUGGCCGGUACAACGGGAUGCGACACGGCGACGUGGAGCGGAUCCCUGAAAACCGGUCUCAGUUCGGAUUGGAGUCUGCAACCCGACUCCAUGAAGGCGGAGUCGCUAGUAAUCGCGGAUCAGCAACGCCGCGGUGAAUGCGUUCCCGGGCCUUGUACACACCGCCCGUCAAGUCAUGAAAGUGGGUAGCACCCGAAGCCGGUGGCCUGACCCCUUGUGGGAUGGAGCCGUCUAAGGUGAGACUCGUGAUUGGGACUAAGUCGUAACAAGGUAGCC